GAUGAACGCUGGCGGCGUGCCUAAUACAUGCAAGUCGAGCGAACAGAUGAGGAGCUUGCUCCUCUGACGUUAGCGGCGGACGGGUGAGUAACACGUGGAUAACCUACCUAUAAGACUGGGAUACCUUCGGGAAACCGGAGCUAAUACCGGAUAAUAUAUUGAACCGCAUGGUUCAAUAGUGAAAGACGGUUUUGCUGUCACUUAUAGAUGGAUCCGCGCCGCAUUAGCUAGUUGGUAAGGUAACGGCUUACCAAGGCGACGAUGCGUAGCCGACCUGAGAGGGUGAUCGGCCACACUGGAACUGAGACACGGUCCAGACUCCUACGGGAGGCAGCAGUAGGGAAUCUUCCGCAAUGGGCGAAAGCUUGACGGAGCAACGCCGCGUGAGUGAUGAAGGUCUUCGGAUCGUAAAACUCUGUUAUUAGGGAAGAACAAAUGUGUAAGUAACUAUGCACGUCUUGACGGUACCUAAUCAGAAAGCCACGGCUAACUACGUG
This 497-nucleotide ribosomal RNA is filed under the name uncultured bacterium. RNAcentral describes it as "partial 16S ribosomal RNA". It matches the Rfam family "Bacterial small subunit ribosomal RNA", at positions 28 to 507 of the family's 1533-position model. The record is from RNAcentral.